GGGGAUAUAGCUCAGUGGCACAGCACCUGCCUGGCAAGCCCGAGAUCCUGAGUUCAAUUCCUGGUACCCACA
This 72-nucleotide transfer RNA is filed under the name Cavia porcellus (domestic guinea pig). It matches the Rfam family "tRNA". Rfam says of the family: Transfer RNA (tRNA) molecules are approximately 80 nucleotides in length. Their secondary structure includes four short double-helical elements and three loops (D, anti-codon, and T loops). The record is from Rfam by way of RNAcentral. Lineage: Eukaryota; Metazoa; Chordata; Mammalia; Rodentia; Caviidae.